CCUACGCGAGGCAGCAGUGAGGAAUAUUGGUCAAUGGCCGUAAGGCUUAACCAGCCAAGUCGCGUGAAGGAAGAAGGAUCUAUGGUUUGUAAACUUCUUUUAUAGGGGAAUAAAGGUAUCCACGUGUGGAUAUUUGCAUGUACCCUAUGAAUAAGCAUCGGCUAACUCCGUGCCAGCAGCCGCGGUAAUACGGAGGAUGCGAGCGUUAUCCGGAUUUAUUGGGUUUAAAGGGUGCGUAGGUUGUUUUUUAAGUCAGCGGUGAAAGUUUGUGGCUCAACCAUAAAAUUGCCGUUGAAACUGGAAGACUUGAGUGUGUUUGAGGUAGGCGGAAUGCGUGGUGUAGCGGUGAAAUGCAUAGAUAUCACGCAGAACUCCGAUUGCGAAGGCAGCUUACUAAGCCAUAACUGACACUGAAGCACGAAAGCGUGGGGAUCAAACAGGAUUAGAUACCCCUGUAGUC
This 460-nucleotide ribosomal RNA is filed under the name uncultured bacterium. RNAcentral describes it as "partial 16S ribosomal RNA". It matches the Rfam family "Bacterial small subunit ribosomal RNA", at positions 338 to 795 of the family's 1533-position model. The record is from RNAcentral.